UGCCUUUGACAUCCUCGGAAUCCCGCAGAGAUGCGGGAGUGCCUUCGGGAACCGAGAUACAGGUGCUGCAUGGCUGUCGUCAGCUCGUGUCGUGAGAUGUUGGGUUAAGUCCCGCAACGAGCGCAACCCUUGUCCCUAGUUGCCAGCAUUUCGGAUGGGAACUCUAGGGAGACUGCCGGUGACAAACCGGAGGAAGGUGGGGAUGACGUAUAGGAGCUCGAC
This 222-nucleotide unclassified non-coding RNA is filed under the name uncultured Gammaproteobacteria bacterium. RNAcentral describes it as "contains 16S-23S intergenic spacer region". It matches the Rfam family "Bacterial small subunit ribosomal RNA", at positions 976 to 1199 of the family's 1533-position model. Lineage: Bacteria; Pseudomonadati; Pseudomonadota; Gammaproteobacteria. The record is from RNAcentral.